GUUCUACCCUUUCCCAUAGGCAGGUGCUGCAGGAGACCAGUGCACACUGUAAUGAUUAUGGCUUCGUCUUCCCUCUCUCCUUCCGUGUCUACUGUCUGAUUUUCAAAGGGUUGCUGAGUGUGAAAUAGUCUGACCUCUUGUCAGCCAGAGAGCCGGGUGAGGGAGAGUGCUGGCUUCAGAAAGUUAUAUGAUAGAGAUACUAGCCUUUCAUUAUGCAGGGGAUAUAAAAACGAUUUAAAAUAAACCCUUUAUUUAAU
RNAcentral lists this long non-coding RNA (257 nucleotides) under Rattus norvegicus (Norway rat). RNAcentral's name for it is "long non-coding RNA NONRATT029584". The record is from RNAcentral. Lineage: Eukaryota; Metazoa; Chordata; Mammalia; Rodentia; Muridae.